This 76-nucleotide transfer RNA is filed under the name Vibrio cholerae. RNAcentral describes it as "tRNA-Gly". It matches the Rfam family "tRNA". Rfam says of the family: Transfer RNA (tRNA) molecules are approximately 80 nucleotides in length. Their secondary structure includes four short double-helical elements and three loops (D, anti-codon, and T loops). The record is from RNAcentral. Lineage: Bacteria; Pseudomonadati; Pseudomonadota; Gammaproteobacteria; Vibrionales; Vibrionaceae. RNAcentral also lists the same sequence under 1 other name.
GCGACACUAGCUCAGUUGGUAGAGCGCAACCUUGCCAAGGUUGAGGUCACGAGUUCAAACCUCGUGUGUCGCUCCA